Long non-coding RNA from Gasterosteus aculeatus aculeatus (three-spined stickleback), 782 nucleotides. NCBI's taxonomy places the organism in Eukaryota, Metazoa, Chordata, Actinopteri, Perciformes, Gasterosteidae. The record is from Ensembl.
GACCUCUUCUCGAGGGUAAACUUUGGAGUCGGCAGUGUGGCUGGGCUGGUCUUGUCUGGCCUGGCUGUUGCAGGGUCCAGGGAGGCACAACUUGUCAAGUCGUGGCGGUUUUAGACUUUUAGGCUGUCAGCUUUGACACUAAAGGAGAAGAAGCGCGGACCCCCUCGUCAGCCUCUCCGCGCACUCCUCUGAAGUCGUUUCACGGCACAGAGAGAGUUCAUUCUAAAAAGGAGAUGGCACAGUUGGAAAGUUUCAGGGCAGACUGCGCAAACGCGAUUUUUUGUUGUGAUUGGCCGUGACGCAGUGACAUGAGAGGCGCUCUAAGGUGGACAGGCAGGCAGACAGACAGACAUGCCGAACAGAAGAGGCGUCCCUCAGGAGGGAGGACUCACAGACAGAGACAGACAGUUCUCCAGGGUCGAGAUGCUAAACAUUUCCCACUACAGCUCUCUGGCCUUUUCAGAGAUUCAGCUUGGGAAACAACACACACUCACACACACAACUACACGGAAUGGAAACGUUAUGAGGAGUAAAGGUCAUUCAUUUUAUAUAAACAUAUACUUAUAUUGCUGACAUACUCAAACUGCAGCGAUAUUUUCUUGAAAACGGUAUGAAACUCUAACCCCUAAAUUGUGACACUGAUUCAUUGUACAUAAUGACGUUAAAUAAUUUCCUAUCUAAUAAACGAUGCAUGGUUUUCUUUGUGAUCACUCGUGCAUGAGUAAGGAAUUGAAAUUCAGCACAACUACCAAAACAUUUCUGUGCAAAAGAGAAUUCCCGAU